GUAGGUGGCAAGCGUUGUCCGGAAUUAUUGGGCGUAAAGCGCGCGCAGGUGGUUCUUUAAGUCUGAUGUGAGAGCCCCCGGCUCAACCGGGGAGGGUCAUUGGAAACUGGGGAACUUGAGUGCAGGAGAGGAAAGUGGAAUUCCACGUGUAGCGGUGAAAUGCGUAGAUAUGUGGAGGAACACCAGUGGCGAAGGCGACUUUCUGGCCUGUAACUGACACUGAGGCGCGAAAGCGUGGGGAGCAAACAGGGAUUAGAUACCCUGGUAGUCCACGCCGUAAACGAUGAGUGCUAAGUGUUGGGGGGGGUUUCCGCCCCCUCAGUGCUGCAGCUAACGCAUUAAGCACUCCGCCUGGGAGUACGGUCGCAAGACUG
RNAcentral lists this ribosomal RNA (374 nucleotides) under uncultured organism. Its description in RNAcentral is "partial 16S ribosomal RNA". It matches the Rfam family "Bacterial small subunit ribosomal RNA", at positions 527 to 896 of the family's 1533-position model. The record is from RNAcentral.